Molecule: ribosomal RNA, 508 nt
Filed under: uncultured bacterium
Lineage: Bacteria
Description: partial 16S ribosomal RNA
Rfam family: Bacterial small subunit ribosomal RNA
Source: RNAcentral
GAUGAACGCUAGCGGCAGGCUUAAUACAUGCAAGUCGAGGGGCAGCAGGUCCCGCAGCAAUGCGGGAUGCUGGCGACCGGCAAACGGGUGCGGAACACGUACAGAACCUUCCUUUAAAUGGGGAAUAGCCCGGGGAAACCCGGAUUAAUACCCCGUAACAUAAUGAAGUGGCAUCACUUUAUUAUUAUAGCAGCAAUGCGCUUGAAGAUGGCUGUGCGGCUGAGUAGGUAGUUGGCGGGGUAACGGCCCACCAAGCCUACGAUCAGUAACUGGUGUGAGAGCACGACCAGUCACACGGGCACUGAGACACGGGCCCGACUCCUACGGGAGGCAGCAGUAAGGAAUAUUGGGCAAUGGACGCAAGUCUGACCCAGCCAUGCCGCGUGGAGGAUGAAGGUCCUCUGGAUUGUAAACUUCUUUUAUCUGGGAAGAAAUCUAUUUUUUCUAAAGUAGUUGACGGUACCAGAUGAAUAAGCACCGGCUAACUCCGUGCCAGCCGCCGCGGUAA